Molecule: non-coding RNA, 59 nt
Filed under: unclassified sequences
Description: Transposase-1 RNA
Rfam family: Transposase-1 RNA
About the family: Lactobacillales (Firmicutes).
Source: Rfam by way of RNAcentral
CGUUCAGAAGUUGUCUCUGUCGUUACCCACACUAGUGGAUACGAGAAUGCAAUUGUUGA